CCUACGGGAGGCAGCAGUGAGGAAUAUUGGUCAAUGGGCGGACGCCUGAACCAGCCAAGUCGCGUGAGGGAAGACUGCCCUAUGGGUUGUAAACCUCUUUUGUCAGGGAGCAACGCCGGCUACGUGUAGCCGGACUGAGAGUACCUGAAGAAAAAGCAUCGGCUAACUCCGUGCCAGCAGCCGCGGUAAUACGGAGGAUGCGAGCGUUAUCCGGAUUGAUUGGGUUUAAAGGGUGCGUAGGCGGAAUGCCAAGUCAGCGGUAAAAUCGCGGGGCUCAACCUCGCUCCGCCGUUGAAACUGGCGUUCUUGAGUGGGCGAGAAGUAUGCGGAAUGCGUGGUGUAGCGGUGAAAUGCAUAGAUAUCACGCAGAACUCCGAUUGCGAAGGCAGCAUACCGGCGCCCAACUGACGCUGAGGCACGAAAGCGUGGGUAUCGAACAGGAUUAGAUACCCUUGUAGUC
Molecule: ribosomal RNA, 460 nt
Filed under: uncultured bacterium
Lineage: Bacteria
Description: partial 16S ribosomal RNA
Rfam family: Bacterial small subunit ribosomal RNA
Source: RNAcentral